GCCGAUGAUAGGUUUAGCCAACUUCAAUAAAUGAUUAUAACCCAACAGCAAUCCCUCACCAGGCUAGAAGUCAAUUAGCUGAAUCUACCAUGAGAAGAGAACUAGGUCAAUUGCCAAACGAACCAAUAUCGAAUUUUGAAAAUGACCCAUCCAUCCACCAAUCAUCUGGACCUAGUCAUCAAUCCAAUGUCCCACCUAAGAAUCUCCAAUUUGAAAGUGAUAAUGCAAUUUCUGAGCUUAAAAGUGAUAGAAUUCUUAAGG
RNAcentral lists this long non-coding RNA (261 nucleotides) under Elaeis guineensis (African oil palm). Its description in RNAcentral is "long non-coding RNA (EGUI_LNC057185)". The record is from RNAcentral. Lineage: Eukaryota; Viridiplantae; Streptophyta; Magnoliopsida; Arecales; Arecaceae.